Molecule: ribosomal RNA, 475 nt
Filed under: Bifidobacterium coryneforme
Lineage: Bacteria; Bacillati; Actinomycetota; Actinomycetes; Bifidobacteriales; Bifidobacteriaceae
Description: bacterial SSU rRNA
Rfam family: Bacterial small subunit ribosomal RNA
Source: RNAcentral
CGCUGGCGGCGUGCUUAACACAUGCAAGUCGAACGGGAUCCAGGCAGCUUGCUGUCUGGUGAGAGUGGCGAACGGGUGAGUAAUGCGUGACCAACCUGCCCCAUACUCCGGAAUAGCUCCUGGAAACGGGUGGUAAUGCCGGGUGUUCCGCAUCAUCGCAUGAUGGUGUGGGAAAGGGUUUACCGGUAUGGGAUGGGGUCGCGUCCUAUCAGCUUGUUGGUGGGGUGAUGGCCUACCAAGGCUUCGACGGGUAGCCGGCCUGAGAGGGCGACCGGCCACAUUGGGACUGAGAUACGGCCCAGACUCCUACGGGAGGCAGCAGUGGGGAAUAUUGCACAAUGGGCGAAAGCCUGAUGCAGCGACGCCGCGUGCGGGAUGACGGCCUUCGGGUGGUAAACCGCUUUUGAUUGGGAGCAAGCGAGAGUGAGUGUACCUUUCGAAUAAGCACCGGCUAACUACGUGCCAGCAGCCGCGG